GCGUUGAUCACCGGGCCAACGGGAGACAGUGUGGCGUGAUGCUGACGCAGCCCACUGACAAGCCGGCGAGAGGCCCAGGGGAGCCGCUCUGAGCCGAGCAGCCAGAGCCAGGCAGCUUUUCCUGAAGACUCCAGGACUUUAGGCAAUUGACCCCAAUCUCCUUAUUUGUUUCAUCCCAUCUUGAAGGACUGCAAGCAUGGUUUCUUCAGAUGCCCACUUAAGGAAAACUUCUCAACUCUUCUCCUUCUAAGAAUCCCCUGCCUCCAUCCCUAGAGAAUCAUGGCUUCAAAAUAAAAAUAAAACAAAGUUUUGAGCUGACUUUAGUCGAAAUCUCAAAUACUAUAAGACAGAAACUGUACAGUACUGUCUGCAGGUGGACCACAUUGUUGCGGAAAUACGUGAUUCAGGCCAGCCACCUGCCCCUGCUUUCCAGGAUUCUACCACUCAGCUCUGAUCAAGCUAGCAUCCCUCCUCCUGUCACCAGCAAAGCCCAGGAAAAAUUUCCAAGAAUUAAAACUAGAAUCUGGGUAAUAAAA
Long non-coding RNA from Cervus elaphus (red deer), 536 nucleotides. RefSeq lists it as uncharacterized. The record is from RefSeq and is a predicted model, not a curated record. The transcript has 3 exons. Lineage: Eukaryota; Metazoa; Chordata; Mammalia; Artiodactyla; Cervidae.